Molecule: unclassified non-coding RNA, 200 nt
Filed under: soil metagenome
Description: partial internal transcribed spacer 2
Source: RNAcentral
UUAAGUUUAGCGGGUAUCCCCACUUGAUUCGAGGCCAUGUGAGACGGUUACUGGCGCACGUCGGAAGCCCUGGCCACAUUGUGUUGCGGUUCAGGCACGACGGACGCCCAGGGGUUUGGAGCAUUCCCUUGCAGGAAAUCUCAACGCAAGGCAGAGCCUCAUGACACAACCGGCGCUCGAACAAGUGUACUCCAAGGAAU